CGGAGGGUGCGAGCGUUGUCCGGAAUCACUGGGCGUAAAGGGCGCGUAGGCGGCCUGAUAAGUAGGGGGUGAAAUCCUGCGGCUUAACCGCAGGGCUGCCUUCUAAACUGUCAGGCUCGAGCACAGUAGAGGCAGGUGGAAUUCCCGGUGUAGCGGUGGAAUGCGUAGAGAUCGGGAAGAACAUCAGUGGCGAAGGCGGCCUGCUGGGCUGUUGCUGACGCUGAGGCGCGACAGCGUGGGGGAGCAAACAGGAUUAGAUACCCUGGUAGUCCACGCCGUAAACGAUGGACACUAGGCGUCGGGGGGAGCGACCCUCCCGGUGCCGUCGCUAACGCAGUAAGUGUCCCGCCUGGGGAGUACGGCCGCAAGGCUAG
Molecule: ribosomal RNA, 374 nt
Filed under: uncultured organism
Description: bacterial SSU rRNA
Rfam family: Bacterial small subunit ribosomal RNA
Source: RNAcentral